AAAAGACCGUUUCAUGCUUGAUAUGAUAGAGAUUAAUCUCUUCAACUAAAAUAGACGAAAUACUAAAAAUAAUUCAACUUCAAUAAAUGAAAUUCUCCCUUGUGUGUGCACUACUGUAACUAUCAAGGAUGGAAUCUGUCACGACCCAAUUUAGGAUUGUGACCGGCGCUUAGGAGAAGUGCUCCCAAGUAAGCCUCAUCAGUAAUUUUACAGAAAACCGGGUAGAGUUUCCCCUGUUUUUGGACCAUCCCAAAAAAAUUUCAUGUCUCAAAUCAACAACCAAACAUCCUAAUAUCAUACCAAACAAUUGACAACUUGUCAAUUAACCAAUACAUGUCUCCACCAUAACUAAAUCACCAACUAACCACUAGAAAUACUAAUUUAUCUCCAACUUGAUAAAUGAGAACAAUACUCAACAUAAGACUAUAAUAACAAAAAAAUACUCAUGACACUAAAAUACUGACUAUGGAGCAACUCUAAGAGUUCAAUGGAAAGACCAUAACAAUAAAUAAAAUCUCUGCCCACGCGAACAAGUGCGAGGCUCACCAAGAAUUCUCAACCUGUGCGCUCUAAUUAACGAGAUCCUCGCCCGAGUCAGCUGUUGUCUCUGUAAAAAAAAUUAGCGGGGAAUGAGUCGCUAGCUCAGUGAGUAAUAACACUUAACCAUAAUCGUUUUUAUUUGGGAACAAGUCAGAAAAUAUGCUAGUAUCUCAAAUAGAAAAUGACAUAAAAAUGCCCUUUCAGAAAUAAUAAAUAAUUUUCAGUCUCAUCAUACUUUUCUUGUAAUAUAAUACAAUUAACAGUUCAGUAAUAAGCUCAGUAACCACUGCAUAAUAUCAAUAUUCACAUUUUUGGGAGGUUUCAAUGAACGGAUCAUGUAUUUGGUAUAACUGUGGACUUCUUUGCAAGAAGUCAUAUAUAACGGUAGUCCCUACUCGAGGGAAAUCGGUAACGGUAUGCUAGUUCUACCUUCCCAUUAGCGAGGGCUAUAACUGUACUCUGUAAUCGGUAAAUACAAGGUGCACCAGGUCUAACGAACCCGCCGUUAGCUACGGGAUCCUUCAAUGUCUACUCUCAUUUAUACUUGUCUCUGUAAUCCGCAUAUACUCGUAGAAAAUAAUUUAAAACAAUAUAGGGCAUUUAGGUAUUUAUCAAAUUAUGUAAUUUUCUUUCGAUAACAGUAAAUUCAAGAAACGGUCAAACAGAUCUAGUGACAUAAAAAUAUUUAAAACCACGGUAUUUAUCUCAAAUAACUAUUUCGGUAUCAUAUCGAGUAAAAGACUUGUCCCACAUGCAACUCAAAAUAAUCGGUAACAUAUUCAUAUUAAAAAUUAUGUGUAAAUCAUGCAAGUUAUGAAAACACAAAUUGUGGUAAGAUUACUACUCACAGUACUCGUGCCGAAAUACCAAAUGCUUCACCUCGAGCAAUUCGUACAAAUUCCUCCAAUCAAUCUAUAAUUACAUAAUAUCAAUCUCAUGUUAAUUUCCUUAUUUAGGCUAAUUCAAAGCUAAUUUAGAAUACCCAAUCAUCGGGGUUCAUGUUUCGAUCUUAAUUUGUGGAUUUAUAUUUACCCACAUAUGAGUAAUUACUAAUUUAUCAACUCCAACCUAUUCAUAUAAUUUAUUACUCCAAAUUUCAUAAAGUUCUAUUGGUUCUUUAGGAAGAAAAUUCUCAAUUGUGUGAAUGAACUAGUGUAAUUUCUAUUACUCUGUAGAAUCUUCCAAUCAAGAGAAUCGAAAUUAAAAUCUACCAGAAGAAAAAGUUCAAGUAAUACCCGUAAGAGACAAUUUGUGCUUAAGAUUCCUCAACAGUUAUAACUAUGGCUCCAAUACACUGCACCCACUUCUUCCUCCUUCUUUUCUCUUUUCCUUCUUUCUUCCUCUGCUCUUUUUUCUUUUCGUUUUUUCGCUGUUUCAAAGCUUUCUGCUUCGUUUCGAAGUUAAUAAAGCUUUCUGCUUUGUGUUGUUAACCCUUUUCAAAGCCUUUGUUGGCAGGUAAGGAUAAUGGGC
Molecule: long non-coding RNA, 2010 nt
Filed under: Nicotiana tabacum (common tobacco)
Lineage: Eukaryota; Viridiplantae; Streptophyta; Magnoliopsida; Solanales; Solanaceae
Description: long non-coding RNA (NTAB_LNC006637)
Source: RNAcentral